CGCGCCCGUUGGGCACUGGGGGACGCGGGCGCGUCAGGUGAAGACUGGGGGCUGCAGGCGCGCUAGGAGAACUAUGCCAUUUUUGGGUCAGGACUGGAGAUCUCCUGGAUGGAGUUGGAUUAAGACAGAAGAUGGCUGGAAGAAUUGUGAAUCUUGUAGUCAGAAACUUGAAAGAGAGAAUAACCAUUGUAACAUCAGUCACAGCAUUAUCUUAAAUAGCGAAGAUGGAGAAAUACUCAAUAAUGAAGAGCAUGAAUAUGCAUCCAAAAAAAGAAAAAGGACCAUUUUAGAAAUGACACAAAUACUCAAAGUUUUUAUCAUGAAAAAUGGAUCUAUGUCCAUAAAGAAAGCACAAAAGAAAGGCAUGGCUAUUGCACCUUGGGAGAAACCUUUAAUCGGUUAGACUUCUCAAGUGCAAUUCAAGAUACCCGAAGGUUCAAUUAUGUGGUCAAACUGCAGGACAAAUUCGAGCAUCUUAAAAUGAUUCAACAGGAGGAGAUAAGGAAGCUCGAGGAAGAGAACCAAACCAAUGCAGACCAAACCAAUGCAGAACUCCUAUGUGCUGAUGGUGGUCUUACAUUUCCCUAAGUUUCUGCCGACUAAACUGUGCACACGUUCUCAGGACCUCCUGAAGCUGCGUCACAGGCACUAAUCAAAGAACACAACCAAG
This 670-nucleotide long non-coding RNA is filed under the name Homo sapiens (human). Its description in RNAcentral is "non-protein coding lnc-RTP5-8:16". The record is from RNAcentral. Lineage: Eukaryota; Metazoa; Chordata; Mammalia; Primates; Hominidae.